GGGCGAAUGGUUUAGUGGUAUAAUACUCCCUUAGCAAGUUUCUCUCUUCAAGAGUCUUCCUUCUGGGAGUGGUCCAGGGUUCGAUUCCCUGUUCGUCCA
RNAcentral lists this transfer RNA (99 nucleotides) under Fusarium pseudograminearum. Its description in RNAcentral is "tRNA-Ala". It matches the Rfam family "tRNA". Rfam says of the family: Transfer RNA (tRNA) molecules are approximately 80 nucleotides in length. Their secondary structure includes four short double-helical elements and three loops (D, anti-codon, and T loops). Further hydrogen bonds mediate the characteristic L-shaped molecular structure. tRNAs have two regions of fundamental functional importance: the anti-codon, which is responsible for specific mRNA codon recognition, and the 3' end, to which the tRNAs corresponding amino acid is attached (by aminoacyl-tRNA synthetases). tRNAs cope with the degeneracy of the genetic code in two manners: having more than one tRNA (with a specific anti-codon) for a particular amino acid; and 'wobble' base-pairing, i.e. permitting non-standard base-pairing at the 3rd anti-codon position. RNAcentral also lists the same sequence under 1 other name. Lineage: Eukaryota; Fungi; Ascomycota; Sordariomycetes; Hypocreales; Nectriaceae. The record is from RNAcentral.